AGCAGCCGCGGUAAUUCCAGCUCCAAUAGCGUAUAUUAAAGUUGUUGCAGUUAAAAAGCUCGUAGUUGAAUUUCGGGGUUAGCAAGUUGGUCGUGCCUUUGGUAUGCACUGGCUUUGCUGAUUCCUCCUUCUUGAAGAACUGUGAUGCUAUUAAUUUGGUGUUGCAGGGAAACAGGACUGUUACUUUGAAAAAUUAGAGUGUUUAAAGCAGGCUAACGCUUGAAUACAUUAGCAUGGAAUAAUGAAAUAGGACGUUUGAUCCUAUUUUGUUGGUUUCUAGGAUUGACGUAAUGAUUAAUAGGGAUAGUUGGGGGCAUUAGUAUUCAAUUGUCAGAGGUGAAAUUCUUGGAUUUAUUGAAGACUAACUACUGCGAAAGCAUUUACCAAGGAUGUUU
This 395-nucleotide ribosomal RNA is filed under the name uncultured Glomus. RNAcentral describes it as "SSU rRNA". It matches the Rfam family "Eukaryotic small subunit ribosomal RNA", at positions 569 to 969 of the family's 1831-position model. Lineage: Eukaryota; Fungi; Glomeromycota; Glomeromycetes; Glomerales; Glomeraceae. The record is from RNAcentral.